GGAUGGGGGGGUGAUGCUCCCACAGGUCGAGGGCUGCAAAUUCUGAGAGCGCUAAACUUCAUUCUUCCUUCUCCUUUUCUUGAUCCUCCCUUGUCCCUGCUCUUCUUCCUCCUCUCGCUCCUCCUCUCCCAUCCCUCCUUCUCUUUCCCCCAGGACCAGCGACACACUGGGUCCCCCGUUCCCGAGCCCCUCGCAGCCCGCGGGAGCAGCGGGGAUGGAGCCGGGACAGAGCAACUGGGGUCACACUUUUGGCUACUGGGAGCAACUGAGAGAAACUGGGAUCAUUCUGCAAGCAAACUGGAGUCUCCCCACGGUGCAGGUGGUUUCCAGCUGUGACCUCCUGUCCCACGGAGCGUCCAUGGAUCCCACUGGCACGGCUACGAUGGGUGGGAUUUCAUCUCCUUCCAGCUGGGAUCCGGGAGCUUUGCAGUGUCUGACGGUGCCACCUGGAUCCCCCAGAGGUGCUGGGAAUCCAAAGGGAUCCUGCCAGAGCAGAUGAAGCAUUACCUGGGACACACCUGUGUGGAAGAGCUCCCAAAAUACAUCGGAUGUGGUUGAGAGGCUCUGGAGCACAAAGCCAUCUUCUGCUCAGGCAGCUCCUUUUCCUUCUCCUUUUGUUGUCUAUAAACGGUUCUCAGUGACAAUAUUUGCCUUGUUUGGUUCCAUUCCCUUCCCGACCAUCCAUUUUUAAAAGAACUCCUCUCAGUUCCCCACAGUGGAACACGACACCCCCUCUCUCCACUGUGUCUUUCGCUGGAUCACAGCCUCCUCCAGGUAUCCACCUACUCCGGUGUGAGCACCUCCGCCCUGGGCUGUGGGUUGAUUACUGCAUCCCUCGUGGAUCCCCAGGGGCUGCUUCACCAUGCUCAUCAGCACGGCCUGCAGAGGAAUCUCAGCGCCAGAGCCUGGAGGAAAUCAGGGGGGAUGGGGAGGCAGAGGUUAAAUGAUUUGCUAAGAAGUUGUUUGUUAGAAGCAAUGCAUACCGCUUGCCCAACACUUAUUGUGCCUACCAAAACAGGAUGAGAAGAUAUGAGACUAUUGAUAGAGGGAAGGAAUCUUGACCAAAGAUCCUGUUUUUAACCUAAAACUAACUCAAACCAGUCUUGAAGUUUAGACGUGGGCCAGGGACAUAAAGAGCAGGCGCAGGGAAGCAAGGUGAAAAGUUCAGGAUGAGGAAGACCCUUUACUUCAUCUGAGGAAGACUUAUUUCAUCCCGGAGACCCCUGCCUAUGACCACCAGACAACACUGCGCAAGCACAACGCGGAUGUAAAUAGCUUUUGGGAUCACUGUAAUAUGAGGCGAGGCUAGGCGGGGCUAGGUAAUGAAUAUGUAUAGGUGUAUUGGGAAACUCAAUGAAUAUGGAACUUGUAACCCGAUAAAUACCAAGCUGAAUGCAGCUGCCGGCACGCGUGACUUUGGAGGAAUUAUCCCCAUGUGUCCCAGCGCUGGAAUAAACAUACCUACUUUACUACUUAUUCCAGUAGUGGAGUCUUCUCCGCUCAUCAUUUUGGCGAGCCGGCGGGAGGAACUCUGUCCGGCUGCAGGAUUGGCUGAGGAGUGAACGUCCGAGGCGUGCCCCAGGGCUUUCCUGGAGGAACUCCGCCCCUCGGCUCGCUCACUGUGGGGCAAACAACCUGCUGGGACUGCGGAUAAACAGUAUGUUCUGGAUUUAGGAUGCCUGUAAGUCGUACGCGUGGCCAGGGCUGCUGGUAAGAUGCGAGGAGACGUCCCGUGCACAGCGUAGUCCCUGUGUGGGUAAAGGUGAGGCUUGCAAGCAGCCAGCUACGGGAGCUGGGAAAGGCACCCGGCUAUGGGAGCCGACAAGAAGAAUCGCCAACCGAUACAGCGGCUGCUAGCGAUCCUGAGAGCAGAUCGGGUGAUUCCGCCAGAACUUGUUGAUGACUGUAUUGGGGAAAAUAUAAGCAGGACCCUGAAGUUAUUACAAGUGAGUGUUAUGAAUAUUUUGGCUACUAGUAGCUGGUUUGAGUGUUGUGUUGCUUAUAUGUCUUUUGGAUAUUGGUUGUUAUUGGACUGCUUUUAUAUUAGCUCGCCUAUUUGUUUGUAGAUCGGAGAUGUGUAUGUUGCCGUGUGUUGUUUGAGCAUGUUGUAUUGAAACAUUUGUUUGGAGCGAUGCUAGAUUAUUGAUUUUUGUGCUAAUAGAAUUAGAAUUGUUGCUAGGCAAGAAGUUAGAAGAACCCCUCUCCCUUAGUGGUUUGGUCUUGAUUCUUGGGAAUUUGUAAAUCCGAUAAAACAUUGGAUGGAGAGGAGAGGCAAACGAGUUCCUUUAGAGGGAAUAUACAGAACCUCAGCAGGAAGAUUAGUAACUUUAGACUGAGAACAACCAGUGGCAGAGGAUUUAGGUUUUGAAAGAAUACAUGGAAUGUGGUGAUGCGAUACCUUUAUUGUAUUUUUAUAUAUGUUUUCUGUACCCCGAUGGUUCAUCCCUACCUUCCCCACUCCUAUUCCCAGUUGGUUUGCCCCAGACCCAAGACUCUCCCCUGGUGCUCCCUACAUGGUUGUUCUCCUCCCCUUGUUCUAGCUCUUUCCCUAUCAAUCACCCAAACCCCUCCUGUUGUUCCCGAAGGUUCAGUGUCCAUCACCUGAAACCUCCCAGUUUACCCUUAUAUGGUCCUCAUCAAUCCCCCGGGACCCUACCCCUUUGGUUACCUCCCCCUUUGGAAAUCCCCUAAACCUUGAGGCCCCAUUGGGGCAUGUGAUCCCUUUCCCUCCUCCCCUUGAGGCUAUUGGCCCAGGGAAAUGUCUAUCCUCGUUCAUAUCCCUCCCUUAGAGAUUUCUAUUGGUCCCCUGUUAAGCCAUCCCCAUUGUAACACCUCCCUUUAUAAGAUGUCCCCCGGAGCUGUUCUGGGCUUGUCUCCUGUGAGUUGCCUCCAAUAAACUUGGAUUACCCCCUGUG
This is a long non-coding RNA of Corvus hawaiiensis (hawaiian crow), 2915 nucleotides long. RefSeq lists it as uncharacterized. The record is from RefSeq and is a predicted model, not a curated record. Lineage: Eukaryota; Metazoa; Chordata; Aves; Passeriformes; Corvidae. The transcript is spliced from 4 exons.